Molecule: ribosomal RNA, 253 nt
Filed under: uncultured bacterium
Lineage: Bacteria
Description: partial 16S ribosomal RNA
Rfam family: Bacterial small subunit ribosomal RNA
Source: RNAcentral
UACGUAGGCAGCGAGCGUUGUUCGGAGUUACUGGGCGUAAAGCGUGCGUAGGCGGUGUCUUAAGUUUGUUGUGAAAUCUCCCGGCUUAACCGGGAGGGUGCGGCGAAUACUGAGAUGCUGGAGUGCCGGAGAGGUAAGCGGAAUUCCUGGUGUAGCGGUGAAAUGCGUAGAUAUCAGGAGGAACACCUGUGGCGAAAGCGGCGCACUGGACCACAACUGACGCUGAGGCGCGAAAGCUAGGGGAGCAAACAGG